AGUUGGCUGCGGCCUGUGAUAUUGACGGGAGCUGUCGCCUUGUCCUGAGUGACAUCAUGCUGGCCGCGUGUCUUGUGCGUGUGCACGUCUCGUCAUCUUCACACGCACACGCACUCUCGGCCUGCCCUUGACGUGCGCGCGCGGUAAGUGCGUCCACGUCUGAUCAAUGUCGAUGUUUUCGUCGAUCGAUUGCUUGGCGCUAGCUAGCUAAGCUAGCCAGCCAGCCUUAACGAGGUAGCCAACGGGAUAGAGCUGUUACAAGCGCGUGCACACGCUCCGUCUUUAAUUGAAUGUGUGCACGAGGCUCGUGCUCGUCUAUUUUCAUUUAAAGGCAUUUGAAGUCGCGUCUAGCGUGACGUCACCUGGACGACAACGCAACAUGUCAGCUGACAUCUGUGGUUCCUAAUCAUUCCAAAGAAAGAACCUUCCAUCUUGUUUGGCAGCCAUGCAGCAGAAGUUGUGUUCCGGUUCUUUUCACUCAGAGCGAGGCUGCAACGAACCCCUGCCGUCAUGUGACCUCCCCUUCCGCUGCCCCCGCUGUGGCGAGCAGGAGCGCUUCCACAGCAUGGACGCCCUCCACGCCCACCUCGAGUACCGACACUCAUACCGCUCGCCGGACGAGGUGGGCGGCGGAGGCUUCAGCAUCACUGGGAAACUCCCGCCUGACUCUCUGAGCGCCGCCGCGUCCUGGCAGGACAUGAGCCUCCCAACCUGCAGGGGGCAACAGAGCGCGGGGCGGCCGCCUCACGUACGCUCGCUGAGCGACAGCAGAGAUGGCGCCUUCAUGCUGUCCUACAGCUCUGUGAGGAGGCGGACCCACAGUGUGGGUGUGGGGACGCAGGCAGAAGAAGAGGUGGGUGGGGCUGAGGCAGAGGAAAAAUUAGAUUCUCAUCAUCGAGGUUGCCUUCCUCCAACGCCGGACCUGGACUGGAACUGGGACCUGCCAGGGCGGCGUGCUUCCUCCGGCUCGGACGCGGCGGCGGCCUCGGCCGCUGUGCGCCGGCGCCUGGCCAGCAUGCUGCGAGCGGCCGACAGCAGCGUGCAGCGCCGGCUGGCCCGGGUCAGCACGGAGCUGGCUCACACCGACACGCAGCUGCUGUGCGAGCGCGCUCACUCGCAGCAUCUGUCCCAGGAGAGACAGGAAGUGGCCGACAGGGAGCGCUCGCUUAGCCGGCAGGUGGACGUGGCCGUCAUGGUCAUCGCGGCGCUCAAGGAGCAGAUCAACGCCUCGGAGAACGAGCUGGAGCGGCGAGAGAGGCAGGUCAUCACCAUCCAGAAGUUUCUGGAAGCCGCAGCCCGCCAGGAGACCAGCGGCAAAGUGAGAAUCCAGUGCUUCAUCGAGAACCUACUCAGACGCAUCGCCUUGGCCGAGAGACUGCUGGAGUACUAUCAAGUCAACGGCAGCCCGCCUCAGCACCACCAGUGCACGCAGCACCAGCAGACAAGUGAUGGCCGACCUCACAGGAUGACGAAAAGCAGGUGAGACUCUCCUGACAUCACUACUAUCAGAAGAACAAGAGGAUAGAGGGGAGGGAGCCACCUGGUGUGGCCCAGCAAGGUGCACUGUAUUCGAGCACACGCUCCGAGCAGCCGGUGUGCCGCCACGGAGGUCUCUGGUAAACUUUUUGCACUUUUCAAAAGCCGCAGUGCUGCCGUUCCAGGUGGCUGAUAAGCUUUUUUGUGUGCUCCCCCUCAUCACGGACAAUUUUGGUACAACGUCCUUCCUCUUAAAGUGAAUGUUUGUUUACAAGUGAGCUCAGGAAAAGUUACGACAGCACGUUAACGUCACAGGCAGGAGAAAAAAGGAGCGCUUGAUUUGCUCACCCGCACAGUACAGGUAAUUGAAGUAUUUUUUUUUUAAUUAUCAGUUACCAGAGCUAUUUUUAAUGUUGUCAGAUUUAUCAGUACGACAUCAUAAUGCUCUCAUAUCGGCCCAAAAAUUAUCGUGCACUCCUAGAAAAAACAUUUUGUUUCAACAAAAGUCAUUAAAAAGCCAUAGUUAGCCAUAGCCAUAGCAAUAGUUCGUUCGAUGUCGAUAUGAGCCAAUAUCUCCAUUUUUAUCAGACCUAAUACCCUAAAAUAGGGGAGUCCAAAGUGUGGCCCAGAGGCCAUUUAUAACCCGCACAUCUGAGAAAUAGUAAAAAUGGGGGGGAAAGCAGUAAAAAUUGAAAAAUGGGUAAUUUUACAGGAGUAAAGUCAAAAUAUUAAGAGAAAGAAGUUGUAAUCUAACGAGAAAAAGUCACAAUUAGCAUUGAAAUGUUAUGAGGAAAAAUAAUUUUAGUAGCAUAAAGUCGAAAUAUUAAAGAAGCACGUUAUUUAAAAAAAAAAAUAUAUAUAUAUAUAUAUAUAUAUAUAUAUAUAUAUUUAUUUAUUUAUUUAUUGUGUGAAACAAAUAUAACAAAGUUGUAAUUUUUGGAAAAUUAGUUUGCGGAAAUAUUUCUAGUGUUACAAGAAUGUGAAAAUAUCACGGGAAUAAAGUCAUAAUUCCCAGAAGAAAAUUUACAAGGAGAAAGUUGGAAUAUUUGGAAAAUAAAAACAGCAGCAGAAAUGACAAAAACAGCUGUCAUUACAAAAACAAAGUCGAAAUAUUACGUGAAAAAAGUCGUAUUCUAACGAGAAAAAAGUGGCAAUUUUACCACAAUAAACGCAGAAUAUUACGAGGAAAAAUAAUGUCAUUUUAGUAGCAUAAAGUUGAAAUAUUAAAGAACCACGUUAUUUUUUCAAACUCCUAAUAUGUAAAACAAACAAAACGAUGAAAAAGUUGUCAUUUUUGGAAAAUGAGCUUGCAGAAUAAGUUCUCAUGUUACAAGAAUACAGGAGAAAAAAGUGGCUAUUUUACCUUGGAAAGUGUUUGUUUCUUUCCAAGUGAGCUCAUGGGAAGUUAACGGCACAGGCAGGAGAAAAAAAGGAGCGCUUGAUUUGUUCACCAGCACUGUACAGGUCGGCGGGAGGUCAGCUCUCCUCGUCUGGUCUCCAUGGCAACACGACGCCUCCGCCCCCCAGCAGGCCGUCCGGCGGGCGGGACCAAGAGAGGGAGCAGCGUGAGCGUCUGGCCCGCUCGUCCAGGCUCUUCUGCCGAC
Molecule: RNA transcript, 3080 nt
Organism: Dunckerocampus dactyliophorus (ringed pipefish)
Lineage: Eukaryota; Metazoa; Chordata; Actinopteri; Syngnathiformes; Syngnathidae
Gene: znf365
Gene name: zinc finger protein 365
Exons: 5
Source: RefSeq, a predicted model, not a curated record